This 249-nucleotide ribosomal RNA is filed under the name uncultured bacterium. RNAcentral describes it as "partial 16S ribosomal RNA". It matches the Rfam family "Bacterial small subunit ribosomal RNA", at positions 524 to 771 of the family's 1533-position model. The record is from RNAcentral.
UACAGAGGGUGCGAGCGUUAAUCGGAGUUACUGGGCGUAAAGGGCGCGUAGGCGGUUAUAUAAGUGAGAUGUGAAAUCCCUGGGCUUAACCUAGGAACUGCAUCUCAUACUGUAUGACUGGAGUAUUGUAGAGGGUAGUGGAAUUUCCGGUGUAGCGGUGAAAUGCGUAGAGAUCGGAAGGAACACCAGUGGCGAAGGCGGCUACCUGGACAAAUACUGACGCUGAGGCGCGAGAGCGUGGGGGAGCAA